GGUCGGGAACUCAAAGGAGACUGCCAGUGAUAAACUGGAGGAAGGUGGGGAUGACGUCAAGUCAUCAUGGCCCUUACGACCAGGGCUACACACGUGCUACAAUGGCGCAUACAAAGAGAAGCGACCUCGCGAGAGCAAGCGGACCUCAUAAAGUGCGUCGUAGUCCGGAUUGGAGUCUGCAACUCGACUCCAUGAAGUCGGAAUCGCUAGUAAUCGUGGAUCAGAAUGCCACGGUGAAUACGUUCCCGGGCCUUGUACACACCGCCCGUCACACCAUGGGAGUGGGUUGCAAAAGAAGUAGGUAGCUUAACCUUCGGGAGGGCGCUUACCACUUUGUGAUUCAUGACUGGGGUGAAGUCGUAACAAGGUAACCGUAGGGGAACCUGCGGUUGGA
Molecule: ribosomal RNA, 394 nt
Filed under: Salmonella enterica
Lineage: Bacteria; Pseudomonadati; Pseudomonadota; Gammaproteobacteria; Enterobacterales; Enterobacteriaceae
Also listed under: 4 other names
Description: bacterial SSU rRNA
Rfam family: Bacterial small subunit ribosomal RNA
Source: RNAcentral